GUGAUGAGGGUAGUAGAACGAUAGGUGAAGAGGCUGAGCUACGCUGA
RNAcentral lists this small nucleolar RNA (47 nucleotides) under Pyrobaculum calidifontis JCM 11548. RNAcentral's name for it is "PCAsR34". The record is from RNAcentral. Lineage: Archaea; Thermoproteati; Thermoproteota; Thermoprotei; Thermoproteales; Thermoproteaceae.